This is a non-coding RNA of Monodelphis domestica (gray short-tailed opossum), 12015 nucleotides long. The record is from RefSeq and is a predicted model, not a curated record. NCBI's taxonomy places the organism in Eukaryota, Metazoa, Chordata, Mammalia, Didelphimorphia, Didelphidae.
AGGUGGCGACAGCAGCGGGAGGCGGGGCUGCCGCAGCCCCAGGAGCAGCAGAAGCAGCAACGAAAGCUAGAGCUGGAGCAGGAGAAGCCGCAGCAGCAGCAGGAGGAUCCCCUCUGGGUACAGAAGUGAGCGCCGAGCUGCCGCGACGGUGGCAGUAGGAGUAGGACCCGCAGCGGCUGGGGCGGUUUGGAGGCAGCGGCUACACCUCCCCGGCUCGGCAAGCCGGGCGGGAGGGCGGGGAAGCCAAAGGCAUAGCGCUCCCAGGUUGCCCCGGCGGGGCCAUGGUGCCACCGCUUCCCACGGCUCCCGGGCCGCUGCCGCCUGUGCUGCUGCUGCUUUUGCUGCAGCUGUGCAGGGGUCUGCGCGCGGAGGACAGUGGCGCCAUGGAGGAGAUUGCCACUGAGAAGGAGGCGGAGGAGAGCCACCGGCAGGACAGCGUGAGCCUCCUGACGUUCAUCCUGCUCCUCACCCUCACCAUCCUCACCAUCUGGCUCUUCAAACACCGUCGGGUGCGAUUCCUGCAUGAGACAGGCCUGGCUAUGAUUUAUGGACUCAUCGUGGGGGUGAUUCUGCGGUACGGCAUUCCUGCUACCAGUGGCCAUGAUAAGUCUCUCAGCUGUUCUCAAGAAGACAGACCAUUCAGUACUCUGCUAGUCAAUGUCAGUGGGAAGUUCUUUGAGUAUACGUUAAAAGGAGAAAUUAGCCCUGGAAAGAUCAAUAAUGUUGAGCAGAAUGACAUGCUGAGAAAGGUAACUUUUGAUCCAGAAGUAUUCUUCAAUAUUUUGCUGCCACCAAUUAUUUUCCAUGCUGGAUAUAGUUUAAAGAAGAGACACUUUUUCAGGAAUCUUGGGUCUAUUCUGGCGUAUGCUUUCUUAGGGACUGCUGUCUCCUGUUUCAUUAUUGGCAAUCUUAUGUAUGGUGUGGUGAAGCUCAUGAAACUCGUAGGACAGCUCUCUGACAAAUUUUACUACACAGAUUGUCUCUUGUUUGGAGCAAUUAUCUCUGCCACUGAUCCAGUGACUGUUCUGGCCAUAUUUAAUGAACUGCAUGCUGACGUGGACCUCUAUGCCCUUCUGUUUGGAGAAAGUGUCCUAAAUGAUGCUGUGGCUAUAGUUCUAUCCUCGUCUAUUGUUGCCUACCAGCCAACUGGAUUGAAUACCCAUGCUUUUGACGCUGCAGCCUUCUUCAAAUCUGUAGGAGUAUUCCUGGGAAUAUUCAGUGGCUCCUUUGCCAUGGGAGCAGUGACUGGAGUCGUGACAGCUCUAGUAACCAAGUUUACCAAGCUUCACUGCUUCCCCCUGCUGGAGACUGCUCUCUUUUUCUUAAUGUCCUGGAGUACCUUCCUUUUAGCUGAAGCCUGUGGGUUUACAGGUGUUGUUGCAGUCCUCUUCUGUGGAAUUACCCAAGCUCAUUACACCUACAACAACCUGUCAGUGGAGUCAAGAAGUCGAACAAAGCAACUUUUUGAAGUGCUCCACUUCCUGGCAGAGAACUUCAUAUUCUCCUACAUGGGCUUAGCCUUGUUCACUUUCCAGAAGCACAUUUUCAGCCCUAUAUUCAUCAUUGGAGCUUUUAUUGCUAUCUUCCUGGGAAGAGCUGCACACAUUUACCCUCUCUCCUUCUUCUUGAAUCUGGGCAGAAGACAUAAGAUUGGCUGGAACUUUCAACACAUGAUGAUGUUUUCAGGCCUUCGAGGAGCAAUGGCUUUUGCAUUGGCCAUCCGGGACACAGCGACUUACUCUCACCAAAUGAUGUUCUCCACCACUCUCCUGAUUGUCUUCUUCACUGUUUGGUUCAUCGGUGGAGGAACGACCCCCAUGUUGUCAUGGCUGAACAUAAGAGUUGGAGUUGAUCCAGAUCAAGACCCACCACCCAGCAAUGACAGCUUUCAAGUCUUACAGGGGGAUGGUCCAGAUGCUACCAGAGGAAAUCGAACAAAGCAGGAAAGUGCCUGGAUAUUCAGGCUAUGGUAUAGCUUCGACCACAAUUACUUGAAGCCUAUCCUCACUCACAGUGGACCGCCGUUAACGACGACCCUUCCAGCGUGGUGUGGUCUGCUGGCGCGGUGCCUGACCAGCCCACAGGUGUACGAAAACCAAGAACAGCUGAGAGAUGAAGACUCUGAUUUUAUCCUGAACGACGGUGACCUCACUCUGACAUAUGGAGACAGCACCAUAACAGCGAACGGCUCCUCAGGCUCCCACACGGCCACCACGAGCCUCGAGGGCAGGAGAACAAAAAGCAGCUCAGAGGAGGCGCUAGAACGAGACCUGGGAAUGGGAGAUCAUGAAGUUUCAAACCGGGGCACCCGACUGGUAUUUCCUUUGGAAGACAAUGCAUGACCCCCAAAUUCCUAAAGCAGAAGGGUAGGCUCAUAGCCAGAGCGAGGAGGGGUUGCAGGCCCCCCAUGUGUCGUUGGAGGUGGAAGAUGGUCAGGGACCUGAACUAACACUUCUAUGACCAAUGGUUUUAUUGAGGUCUCAAGAUCCAAACCUUAUUGUGACUUCCCUGUCCCCCCAACUUCCCCCCAAAAAAGUUCAUUAAAGAUGCAGGUGGUGGGGUUAAAGUGUUUCCAAAUUAAGACAAUAAUGAGCCUAUCCCCACUUUCUUACACAGUAGUACAUUGAAUCCUUUAAAAAAAAAAUAGCAUGCUGAAAUGGUCUACGAACUCAUUCACCUGCAGUCCUUGAGCCAAGGAGAGGCGAGCUCGGAAGGCCACCCCUUAAGACGAUUCAAGUGGUUCAUUAGUAUCAGGUCUCUCUUGGGCUGCAAAGUGGGCACGAGGGGGAAAUGGGAUCUCAAUGGAAGGAAGUAGAGCACGGACCUCCAAGAGAUGGGGCAACCAGUGUUAAAUGUUUCACGUGUAAAGAAACAGUAUAAAAUGGUGGCUCCAACGCGUGGGGCCCUACCAACAUCUCAUUCUGGGACUCGUGGCUUUCAUCAUGGGAAAACAAUGGAAGGAGGCAUCGUUUCUCUGGAUGCUGUCAUGGAAAAGAUGUCUUUUUGUUCCUGGAGUGUUUGAAACCAAAGGCACUUUGGGGGAAAGGUGGGAGGUUGUUUUGUUUUUGUUUAACUGCUCCCUGGGUCGGGAGAUGUUUGGAAAGGGCAAAAGACUUCUAAAUUCUUGAGGUCCACAGUGGGCCCAUGAGCUGUGCUUCUAAUGAGAAUAUAAAGAUUGACUUGGCUAUUCUCUUACACUGAAAUAGUCCUAAUGAAUGACUGGACAUGAAGGAAACUAAGGGAAGAAGAGGAUUAAAAGAGCUUCUGGCUUGUAAGAGGAAUUCAAUCUGGGAAGGAAAAAGAUGGAAAUAGGAUAGGAAGAAAUAGAUUUCACAGCACUAAAUGUGGACUGCAGUGAAUAGAAGUAUUCUAAAGGACCAGCAGAUCUCUCUUUAAUGAUGUUUUCUGAACUGAGGAAUGCCUGAGAUGCCCGCAGCAACAGCGUGGCUGGUUAACGGGAGUACUGAAAUUUUUAGGAACUGGUACCAGGGUGAAGAAGUUUUGCCAGAGUCUCUUUCUUUGAUCUGAGAGUCUCUUAUUUGAAUAAUUUUUUAUUUGAAUAAUGCCUAGACUGAGGGAGCAUUGCCUGCUUGCUACAGGGUUAAAAGACUUGUCAGCCUGGUCAUCUUCACAUCAUUUGGUGUCAUUAACAGUUUAAAAAAUAAAAAAGAGGGCAGUAUUCUUGGGACCUAAGGAGACUAACAUCAUUGUACUGUGUGGAUGGAUAGGGGGUUUUUUUCCUGUUUUUUUGUUGUUGUUUUAUUUUGUUUUUUGCUUUGUUACUAGUUUGUUUCUUUCUCUGCGAUUUCUACUUCCUGUUAAAGACACUUAGAGGAACUGAAAUACCAAAAGCAUUCUCUGCAAGAAUAUAGCUUUUUCUCCCAUCUUUCAGUUUUGAUACUAAAAUAUUUGGGAACCUCAUUUUUUUAAAUGUACUGAGAACACAUCAGUUUUUCUAUUACCCAAAGUAAAAUAGUUUCCCAUCACACUGUAAAUGACCUUCACGUACUCAUUAAGUCAUUAAGUGGGGCAUUUAUCAUCACCCCAUAAAGUUUUAGAAUCAAAAAUGUAAAUGAAAUGUGGGGCAAAACAGUGUUUCCAUGCAUUCAAAAUUAUUUUAUAAAUCUUAUUUACUGUUCAUGUGGAGUCUGGACAGGUAGAAUUUAGUAUCCAAGAUGAGAAACUACCUCUUCAGUCUUGUCCCUUCAAUAAAAUCGCAUCUGGAAAGACUGGUAGAUGAGCUUUCUUCUCUGUGCUUUUGAAAGAACUUGAAAUUAAAAAUGAGAUAUCACAGCUACUUCUAUAGGGAGCCUGGAUAGUGAGUCAGGAAAGUACUUGGGAUACACCAAGCAGCUUUCUCAGAAAAUCUUUGGCAGUGCAAGAGUUUCUGUUAUGGUCCCCUGCUACCCAAUUAGAGCCAUAAGGCUGGACAGCAGUGUGUAUGGAUGGCUUUGGUACAAAUGGUCAACACAGAACCUUUUCCCUGUGAGGCACAGUCUUGCCUAAGGACAGACCCCUUGGCUAGCUUUGCUGCAUUGUUUGUCUUUGGGUUUGUUUUUAUUUUUUUUUUUGCUCAUACCUCUCCCACCUCAAAUUCAAUGUCUCUUCAUUUAAAUUAAUAUUAGAAGGAAGGAACACGCUGGCAACCCACAUCCUGAGGCUUGGGAGGGCCUUAACUCAAACAAAUCUGCUCAUACCAAGUCCUCACUGCCAUUAAUGGCAUGGACUUUACUGUCUUAAAUUUCUAGGAAAGUUAAUGUUUAUUACAGGAAAUUGCCAUAGUGGGGAAAAACCUGCUGAGUUUCCUCCAUUAUGAUCUGAAUUCAUCUGUACCUCAAAUGCAUACACAAAAGAUCUGUGUUGUGGCUUUUUCUUCACCACAAACACUUCACUCUGAGCUACCUGAAUUGGGGCAGUAGAGAAUUUGUUGCAACUAGGAAUCUCUUCAACAGUUCUUCUCCUUUUUACUGUGACUUUCCCCCCAUAGUUACUGUGUGGUUUGGGAGAAACUCCUUUCUUGGUCUUGAAAAGAGAAAGAAUAACCCUGACCUCAUUACAGGACCUGGGAAGAUCUGCUCAUCUUUAACAAGGUGAUUUCAACCUUAAACAUGCCUUGUCAAUGUUCCCUGAAAUAACAAUACAAGUUUUGAAAGCCAGCUGUCCACAGUGAGCAGAACUAGUUCUCUUUAAUUUGAAGCCAAAUUGUCCUUAACCAGCUUUUUUGGAAAACCAAACCAAGACAGACAAAUGACAGAACCCUUGAUUAAAUGAUCCACCCAAAUCGGAAGGGGAAAAGAGAUAUAAAAUGGUAUUUCUGAGCCUCAUUCUCCAACACAGGACUGAUGUGUCUGUCCUUCCAGGGAGCACAUUAGAGGCAGUUUCCUACCAUUUAACAAUUAAGCCUGAAGUGCUGAGCCUGCUCAAGCAAUCACGCAUUCAUCAGCAACCCAGGAGGAAAGAACUUUCAUUCAGGGGAUUAGAAAAUGUAAAAGACAUGCCAUAAAUUCCAGCCGAGAAGGGGCUGUUUGAAAAUCUUGAUGGAGAAGGAGCCAAAGUAUGCACGUCCCUAUGCAGAGGGGGCACUAUAAAGCCUACCCCCAUGACCUUGAUUCCUGUGUGUGGUAAAAACAAAGUUUGUUGUUGUUGCUUCAAGUGAAAGACAGCUGUGUGCUAAAAAGCCCUUGCCAAUUCUGCUGUUUCCAGGGCAGCAUCACAGCAGCCUUCUGUUUCUGAGACGUGCCAGAUGCUGCCUCUGAAGAUAUUCACACACCUAGAAAACACUUGUGGUCUUGGAAUAUUUGAAAGGAUGCACAAAAUUUCCUCCUCCUCCAACUCUCUCUGCUCCUCCCCCUACAUCUUAGUGAAUGUUAGGAACCAAUUCUGGAUCUAGGCUGGCACAUAAACACCCAUGGAACAAACCCAUGUGGAACACAGAAUUCCUUAUCUCAAAGGAAGGAGGAGGCCUCUAGGAAGUAGUAUGCCUUGUCUUAUAAAAUAAACAUUAGUGGUACCAACAUUCAGGGUGUUUAUUCUUAUCACCCCCAUCCCCACGAUCCUCCUCCCCUGAGAAAAAAAGAGCCCCAGUAAUGUCCCCUUUCAAAGACCCAAAUGUAGUUUUCUCUCUUGAAAAAGCAGUUUAUGGCAUUUUUAUAUGAAAUUGGGAUACAACUGCAGUAGAGGCAAAUCAUGGCUCCCUUAGAGCCUUUCUGAAGAUAAAUAUAGGAAGGAUGCAGGUGACUCAGGCUUUGAGCAGCCUCACUCACUGUGCCAAGUAAGACAAAUAAGUCUGGAUGCAGGCUAGCCAGGGAGCAUCUUGUAAGGAGAAAAUCUUUCCAUUAAGUUAAUGGCAAAAAGCUAUUUAGCUUGGGCCUUGGUGAAAUAUCAUCUGUCAUUUGGAAUAAUUUUGAGAAUCAGAAGAAUACCAUCCAGGUGCAAAAUUAGAUGUUAGAGAAUUUUGAGAAUCAGAAGAAUACCAUCCAGGUGCAAAAUUAGAUGUUAGAGAAUUUUGAGAAUCAGAAUACCAUCCAGGUGCAAAAUUAGGUGUUAGAGAAUUUUGAGAAUCAGAAUACCAUCCAGGUGCAAAAUUAGGUGUUAGAGAAUUUUGAGAAUCAGAAGAAUACCAUCCAGGUGCAAAAUUAGGUGUUAGAGAAUUUUGAGAAUCAGAAGAAUACCAUCCAGGUGCAAAAUUAGAUGUUAGAGAAUUUUGAGAAUCAGAAGAAUACCAUCCAGGUGCAAAAUUAGGUGUUAGAGAAUUUUGAGAAUCAGAAGAAUACCAUCCAGGUGCAAAAUUAGAUGUUAGAGAAUUUUGAGAAUCAGAAGAAUACCAUCCAGGUGCAAAAUUAGAUGUUAGAGAAUUUUGAGAAUCACAAGAAUACCAUCCAGGUGCAAAAUUAGAUGUUAGAGAAUUUUGAGAAUCAGAAGAAUACCAUCCAGGUGCAAAAUUAGGUGUUAGAGAAUUUUGAGAAUCAGAAGAAUACCAUCCAGGUGCAAAAUUAGAUGUUAGAGAAUUUUGAGAAUCAGAAGAAUACCAUCCAGGUGCAAAAUUAGGUGUUAGAGAAUUUUGAGAAUCAGAAGAAUACCAUCCAGGUGCAAAAUUAGAUGUUAGAGAAUUUUGAGAAUCACAAGAAUACCAUCCAGGUGCAAAAUUAGAUGUUAGAGAAUUUUGAGAAUCAGAAGAAUACCAUCCAGGUGCAAAAUUAGGUGUUAGAGAAUUUUGAGAAUCAGAAGAAUACCAUCCAGGUGCAAAAUUAGGUAUUAGAGAAAUUUCUGACAAGAUAAAAGAUUUUCAGGAGGAAGGAAAAGGGGUGAAAGUUCCCCAAAAGUAGAAAAAAGGAAAACUUAUAUUAAUGUUGUUCCAGGUUUUUCCCCUAAUAGAAAAUGAACUAUUGGAUGCAUACUGUGGCCAAGUGAAUGUUUACUAAUAACGUAGUCAAGGAAGAUAAUCAUCACAACCCAAUUAAAUAUGGGUCACUUUGAACUGAUCAGGUUAGUUCCAAGAGCACGUUUUAAGAAAUAGCUUUUACCAGCUUUUGUGAAAUGUGAACUGGCCUAAUUGGGGGUUUGAGUGAGAAUGUGUGGAAUUCAAGAACCAGGUUACUGGUUUAAAGAGAUUUUCUUUUUCUCAGCCACAGUGAAUUUUAUUUAUUCUCCAUCUGCCUUUUAAUAAUGAAUCUCUUACUAAAAAGUAUGAUGGUUGCUCUUCGAGGGAUGCCCACUAGGCUAUCAGUGAGUUCCCUCAUGUUUAGGUGUGUGCUAGAUUCUCUUACUAAUGACAGGAGUAACUUUAUGGUAUCAUUAGUCAUUAGAGGGGUAAGAGGAGGACUAAGAGUAGUUGCUUUGAUGAGACGUAGCAUUGGGCACUGAGAACACCACUCACAUUUAUUAGAAUGGUUUUCUUUACCAUCUUUUCCCCUCUCUGUCUCCCCACAAAAGUAACCACCAAUUAGAACAAAAUACAGAAAAGCCCAUUUUGGGUGAUGAAAGCUUUGGGAAAAUCAAGUGGGUUCUUGCAGGCUUUGAGCAGGACUGUCAGCAUUGCUUUUAUGAUUUCUGACAGUGGGGAUUGAUUUAAAAAAAGUAAAGUUUGUAAAGAGGAAGGGGGAAAACAUAUGAGUUGUAUAAAGCAUUUUUAAACAUUUAAAAACAUUAAAGAUUCAAGUUUUAUUCUGUGACAACUGAAUUACAUAUACACUUGCUGCAUUGACUUCUACAGUUACAGGCUUUGGAGGAAAGCAAGAAGAAUUUAUUUCACCUCUUAUUAAGUGUUAUUUCUCCUGAAUUGACCUUUUGACACUGGAAUAAUUAUCUUUUCAAAAUGGGGCUAUGUGCCCCUACAUAAAGGAAUGGGAAGGAACUCAUCUUGUAGACCAACUCUCAAAUUGUUAAGGAAGUUUCGUCAUAUUUAAGAAAUGAUUCAGUAGAGAGAGAACCAAGAUAAAACAGGAAGAACCCUAAUUCCCUACAAUAAUGAGUGGUGUCUUUUUUUCCCCUGCAGAAUUUCACCACCAUAGCAGAAACUUAAUAAUCAUUUAAUAAUAUGUUAUGAUUUGCAAAGGAAAAAGGGCUGCAAUGUUCUGCAAACAUGACUCCCAGGCCUCCUACCUAGCUCGGCAAGAGGGCCCCUCACCAUCUAACCCUUCCUGCAUGGUUUACUGAACAUUUCUCAUCGCUUCUGCUUAGACCGACUUCUCCAAAAUUCUACAAAAUGAUUUCUUACCCUAUUUUCCCUCCUUGCUUCCAAAGAAAAAGACUAUGGUUUGGCUCAACCCUACUGGAGCAUCAUCUGUGACUAGGAUUAAUGACUGGCAUGAGGGAACAUGGAAUGGGUUUUGUGGGGCCUGAUCUGGGGCUCUUUCAGUUUUACUUAAAAACUUGUGGGGAUUGGGGGCAUUUGGUUUUGGGGGGAGUUUUUUGGUUGUUUUUUUUUUCCUAAGGAGUGCAAAAAUCAGGGCAGCAUUAGACAUAAAAAUCCUUUUUCCAUGUGCCUGGUUGUGCCUUAGUGUCAAGGGAAAUACUGUAUACCUGACCUCUCUGCCUGUGAUUUCUAUCUAUUCUCCUGCUUUUUAACCUAAAGCACUAAUGGCACGUUUGUGGUCUUGCAAGCAGCCCAGCGUCAACCAGGGAGGGGCACAAUUAAGAGUGGUGAGCCUCCGGCAGGGACGGUUUCUUUCAGCCUCUCCAUAGUUCCGGUCCGGUGCUGUGUCGCUGGGGCAGUACUCACUUUUACCUGAUGUCAUCAACCUAGCGUCUUCAUGGCUGCCUUCUGAACUUACUCUUUCAUUUGUGUUUGUAAUUCUUAAAAAGAGAAGCUUGGGAGUGAAAAUUCUUCCCAAUUCAUUAGUUCUGGGAUGGGCUUAGAGAAGGGAAGGUAAAGACGAGCUAGAAGUAUCUUUUUUUAAUUUUUCUUUAAAGAUCCGACUCAGACCUCAAAACGAGACGUUUUCUUUAAGUUAUGAAAUGAACAUAGGGUAAAAGACCACACUUGCCAUGGUUUUCAGAUCAAUAUUUCUGUCCAAGUCGUGAUGUAAACAUCAUUAAUUCUGAAACCAUAAUAAAUCGAGUCUCCUCUUCAUUCGUCACCGGGAACGUCAUCCCCUUCGAAGGGCGCCAAUCGCCACUGGCAGGUUCAAGCUGGAAAAUAAAGCCCUCCAUAUUGGAGGGCCACCAUAUCCAUAUUGCACUAUGUCGCUUCCUUAUUGGAAAUGUAGUCUUUGCAGAUGUGUCCGUCGUGUUUAACUGCUCACUAUUCUUUCUGCUAUGCAGAACUGUACAGCAGUGAAUGUCAAGUGAAGUCUCAAUAGCCCAACUGUGCAAGGUAAUCUCACUGGCAGUGAUUCUUCAUCUUUCCGGACUGCACGCUUCCGUGUGGUAGUUUACCUAGGGAGGAAAGGGGGGGAAAGAAUACAGAAAGGAUGUCAAAGUGGACUGACGUGAAGCCUCUGAUGAAAGAUCUGUAAACCUCUUUAGACUUGGACUAUUUUCACUCAGUUUGUACAACACUCAAAUCCAAAGCUAAAAACCCAUUCUGAAAAAAGGAUCGUUUUCAGUUUGUGAAAAUGUCAUGAAAAAAACAUGGCUUGAAAAGCUGUGUUUGCAUGUUGAGGGAAAAGAAGGGGGGAGAAAGAAUCAUGUAAACCUCAGUCAGCAUUGCUGUCCUUGCUGCUGCUGCUGCUGCUGCCAUCUACGUCUGACUAGGACUGGUCUGUUGGCUUGCAUGCUCUUUGGAUUCUAUAGUGGAAUUUAAAUUUAGAUACCUGCUAUUUAACCAUCUUUAUAAGCCUAUGUAUUCAUUUGUGGAAAGGAAAUCUCUUUUUUUUAAGACUAAAAAAAUUGUAUCAUAGUAAUAAUUAAGAUUCUGUUCAAGUUUCCUUUUUUUUAAUUUUUGUUUGUGUGUGGCACUUCAAAAACUUUUCACUUUGGUGGGAAAGAAGUCACUGGUUCCAUUUGUGACAGGUCUGCCUGUUUCUUACGUUACCAGCCCUUAGUAGAUGAUGGACGUGCACCAAAUUUGAUAACUAAUCUUAAUGAGAUUGACCAUCCAUGAACUACUUUAACAAGGGCCAGAAAACAGGCGUCGACAGGACAAAUGGAAGUGUAUCAUAAGAGUGAUCACACACAUCAGGGAAUUGAGAAGUAGCCUAGAUUUUCUCUAGAGGCAGUUUACAAAAUCAACGGGUAGUUGACAGUAAAUGCAGAUUUCUUUGGUUGCUAGCUCUCUAGAAAGCGUACAUUUAUAUACAUACUAGAUUUGUGUGUUAAGACUUGAAAAACAAGCUUUGCUGUACUUCAGGGUCAUUUACUCUCAAUGGUCAAUAUGGUGAUCUAUACUUGAAGACAGAGGCCAGUUAAGGUGGACAGCUUUGUAUUUUGUUUUUAAAGCACUUUAAAGAAAAAUAAACUGGUCAGAUCUGAUAUUUAUAACAAAACAACGGCGACUUCUUUAUAUAUUAUUCACCCAAAUAAAUGUAAAUAGCUUAGUUAAACCCUCAAUAAUAAAUUGAUUGGAAAAAGGUAGGUGGGGUGGAAGAAAAUUUUGAAUUAAUAUUUCAUCUUUCUUUGAAAAACCCUAGUUUCCUCUUCGCCACAUCUUUGAUUCAAGCACCGGACCCUUUAUCCUGCAUAAAAAUUUCAUGAGCAGUACUGUGGUGUAUUAGAUAGAGGACUGGCCACAAAGUCAAGAAGAGCUGGCUGGGUUCAAGGACAACCUCUGAAACAUUCUGUUGAUAUCACCCUGGACAUGUCAUCUAACUUCAGAAGUUACAGAACCUUUGCUAACCUGUGUGGACUGGAGAAAUUUCUCUCCUACAAUUUCCUUAUCCCCAUGAAAUCACAUGUUUUGUCUCCUUAUUCCAAUCCCCUAAAAGAUAGCAUUUUUUGGUCUCUGUAUUUAUCCUCCCCUGUUGCCAAGAGCAGCUAGUUAGGCUAUUGGUUCAAGGCUGUUUUUAAAUCUGGAAAAAUAAGCAUCCAUCAUUUCUCAGUGAGAGUGCCACACUGAUGUUUCAGAGGCUAGAGGUUUCCUUCUCCCAAUUAUUUUUGGGUUGAAAACAAGAAGACAGUUCUACUCAUGCCUAAAUUUAAGGCCCUGGAAACUGUCAGGGCUGACCUCUAGAACUUUUAUGAUUUAAAAUUAAGAUACCAACAUUGAAGUUCUAAAAUUUUACACUGAUCAUUUACCAGCUCGUUUCCUGCUAUUAAGUUUGACGAUGAAGUAUUAACAUUUAAGCUGCUAUAUACUCUGGUAAAAAAUUUUUCUUCAACUUGCCCAGAUUUUCACCCCCUGAGGAAAAUACAGAACAUUUUAUUUCUCUCAAAAGUCAACAGUAAUAUAUAAAGACAUUUAGUGUGAUGAAAGACUGACAAACUGUUUUAGUGCAAUGAAUUUCAGGUCUUAUCAGGGUUCUGUAUAUUGUGAUGUUUUCAGAACAUGAAUAAAAAUAGUUUUGGAUUUUUUAAUGUGACAUUUAUGUGUUCUAUGUCAUUCCAUUAACCCAGAAAAUAAAUAAUUCAUAAACUGUU